Long non-coding RNA from Pan troglodytes (chimpanzee), 1908 nucleotides. Lineage: Eukaryota; Metazoa; Chordata; Mammalia; Primates; Hominidae. The record is from Ensembl.
ACAUUCACAGUAUUGUUUGGGCAGUAUCAGUAUAUUGGAGACCCAUACUGCGUGGUAUUUAUUUUGUAGGAGAAGACACGAGAGCAGAAAGAAGUAGAUCUCAUUCCUAAAGUCCAGGAGGCUGUGAACUAUGGCUUACAAGUAUUGGACAGUGCCUUUGAGCAACUUGAUAUCAAAGCAGGAAACUCAGACUCCGAGGAAGAUGAUGCUAAUGGGCGGGUGGAACUGAUCCUUGAACCAAAGAGACGGGGUUUCAUCAUGGUGACCAGGCUGGUCUUGAACUCCUGACCUCAAGUGAUCCGCCCGCCUCGGCCUCCCAAAAGUGCUGGGAUUACAGGAUCUAUACAUUGAUCGUCCUUUACCAUAUCUCAUUGGGUCAAAGCUGUUCAUGGAACAAGAAGAUGUAGGUCUUGGAGAGCUGUCCAGUGAAGAAGGCUCUGUAGGCAGUGAUCGUGGCAGUAUUGUGGACACUGAGGAAGAGAAAGAAGAGGAGGAGUCAGAUGAAGAUUUUGCCCAUCACGGUGACAAUGAACAAAACCGGCACACCACACAAAUGAGUGAUGAGGAAGAGGAUGAUGAUGGCUGUGACCUUUUCGCUGACUCUGAGAAGGAGGAGGAAGAUAUUGAGGACAUUGAAGAAAAUACUAGACCUGUAAGGAAGGCUGUAGUUGCUAUCACUUGGCAGAGUUUUAGAACCAAUGACUUGUUUUUUUUUUUAUUGUGACUUACUUUGUACAACACUCAUUUUGGCAUAUUUGUCAUUUCAUUUACACUUUGGAAAAUAAUGGCAAGCAUCUCAAAUUGCCUCACAAGUACCACUUUCUUGUCCAGAUGUUAUGAUUUUAUGAGUCAGAUCAUUCAGAAUAUGUCUAGUUCCAGAGUUUGAAGACCAUAGUGCUCCUGUCUCUCCACCCAUGCACCUUUUUCUUAUUUUCGUAUUUAGAUUUUUAAGUAUUAAAGUCAAGUAUUAAAAAAAAUAAGGAAAUAAAGGGCAUCUCCCUUUGAAGGAACAUUUUAUGAGUCCUAUUCCUUGGGUGAGCUGUAUAGGGUACAUAUGUUUAAAUUCAUUUAAUUAAACUCUGUUUUCUCCUCAGUUCAAUUUCUUUGCUCUUGUAUACAUAAUGUUGUUAGGUGUCCAAAGUGAAGUGUACUAGUUUGUUACAAAAAAAGCGAUUCUUUUGAUUUCUCCUGCUGUAGAAAAGAAGCAGACCUACAUCGUUUGCAGAUGAGCUGGCUGCCCGCAUCAAGGGGGAUGCCGUGGGCCGAGUGGACGAGGAGCCGACAAGUGAGCCCCAGCUGCAUUGAUGGGGAGUAGGGGAGGGGUAGUGCAGAGCCCUCUGCUGGCUUCACCAAAGGCGGAUUUCUCUUUUUAUUAGUAAUUACUACAUAUAUUUAUUAGUAAUUGCUACAUACAAUUUAAAUUGUAGCGCUUAUUCCUUUUUUGGUUAAUGGGCUCCUUUAGAUAACUGAACACUGUGGACUCACAAGAAAAAUGUACAUGUACACAUGUAGAUAACACUUUACAUAUAAUUUCAGGAGAUUAAUGGAAACUCCAGAGAACCAUGGGCAACAGCUUAAGAAUUCCUGGCUGAAUAUUUACUCCUAUAUUUUGAACACAUAAGAAUGUGCUAUAUAGCAUAUUCUAGUUAUAACAGGGUAGAAAGAUAACACAAUAAUUCUUUCAACAAAUACAAUCCUGUUAUGCACAUGAGCCUGGGAUGAAAGCAGAAGCCUUCUGCCUUACAAAGAGACUCUUAAGUGCCCACUGUGGGCAGGGCAGGGGGUUCAGUGCUCUGGUGCAGCUGAGAUGAAAGGCAGAUGUCUUGCUCUUAGCUGUGAGUUAUGAGGAUGACAGACGUGGAAAGAACCAGGAUGUGUAUACUGAGGGAGGACUUAGUACUAUUAAAA